This 257-nucleotide ribosomal RNA is filed under the name uncultured bacterium. RNAcentral's name for it is "partial 16S ribosomal RNA". It matches the Rfam family "Bacterial small subunit ribosomal RNA", at positions 524 to 776 of the family's 1533-position model. The record is from RNAcentral.
UACAGAGGUGCCAAGCGUUAGGCGGAAUCACUGGGCUUAAAGCGCGUGUAGGCGGGUCGUUAAGUGUCCGAGUGAAAUCCCACGGCUCAACCGUGGAACUGCCGGGCAUACUGGCGAUCUUGAGGCAUUCAGGGGCGAGCGGAACAAAUGGUGGAGCGGUGAAAUGCGUUGAUCUACAGAGGAACACCAAAAAAGGCGAAGGCAGCCAACUAUUCUAUUCCUGACAUUGAGGCAUGAAAGCGUGGGGAGCAAACCGG